RNAcentral lists this ribosomal RNA (380 nucleotides) under uncultured eukaryote. Its description in RNAcentral is "partial 18S ribosomal RNA". It matches the Rfam family "Eukaryotic small subunit ribosomal RNA", at positions 592 to 976 of the family's 1831-position model. The record is from RNAcentral.
CAAUAGCGUAUAUUAAAGUUGUUGCGGUUAAAAAGCUCGUAGUUGGAUUUCUGCUGAGAACGACCGGUCCGCCCUCUGGGUGUGUAUCUGGCUCUUUCUUGGCAUCUUCUUGGUGAACGUUGCUGCACUUGACUGUGUGGAGCGCUACCCAGGACUUUUACUUUGAGGAAAUUAGAGUGUUUCAAGCAGGCAUACGCCUUGAAUACAUUAGCAUGGAAUAAUAAGAUAGGACCUCGGUUCUAUUUUGUUGGUUUCUAGAGCUGAGGUAAUGAUUAAUAGGGAUAGUUGGGGGCAUUCGUAUUUAACUGUCAGAGGUGAAAUUCUUUGAUUUGUUAAAGACGGACUACUGCGAAAGCAUUUGCCAAGGAUGUUUUCAUUGA